Molecule: ribosomal RNA, 465 nt
Filed under: uncultured bacterium
Lineage: Bacteria
Description: partial 16S ribosomal RNA
Rfam family: Bacterial small subunit ribosomal RNA
Source: RNAcentral
CCUACGGGAGGCAGCAGUAGGGAAUCUUCCACAAUGGGCGAAAGCCUGAUGGAGCAACGCCGCGUGGGUGAAGAAGGUCUUCGGAUCGUAAAACCCUGUUGUUAGAGAAGAAAGUGCGUGAGAGUAACUGUUCACGUUUCGACGGUAUCUAACCAGAAAGCCACGGCUAACUACGUGCCAGCAGCCGCGGUAAUACGUAGGGGGCAAGCGUUAUCCGGAUUUAUUGGGCGUAAAGGGAACGCAGGCGGUCUUUUAAGUCUGAUGUGAAAGCCUUCGGCUUAACCGGAGUAGUGCAUGGGAAACUGGGAGACGUGAGUGCAGAAGAGGAGAGUGGAACUCCAUGUGUAGCGGUGAAAUGCGUAGAUAUAUGGAAGAACACCAGUGGCGAAAGCGGCUCUCUGGUCUGUAACUGACGCUGAGGUUCGAAAGCGUGGGUAGCAAACAGGAUUAGAUACCCUUGUAGUC